GGGAGCGCCGGGCUUCGUCGCCUCGUGCUGCCGGCGGCGGGCUCUGUGGGACUCCCCGCCGCGGGAUUUUGGUUUGCCCCGUAGCAAAAAAGCAUGCAGGCGCGCUCCCCGAAGAAGAGCCCCACAGAGGGCACGGAGCACACGAACGGGAACUUCAGGGUAUCCCUCGGUCGGGAAGUUCCCCGAGCCCCCGUCCAGAGCGGGGUGAGCGCUGAGGGCUGUCCCUGGGCCGCCGCCCCUCGCCCUGCGGCUGCAGACACCAACCCGCCAGCGCACUGCCCGGUCUGACCCACAGCAGCGGUUCCUGUGUCCUCUGAUCCCAUCCUGACGUAACACGGUAACGUGAGUGAUUUCUUCAGUGCUGCCAUUCCAGUGAAUAUUGCAGUAGAAUCUCCUUCCAUUUUAGUCACCGUGCUGGAGUAAGUUCUCUGGUUGUGUCUCCUGUCAUCAAGUGGCACCCCAUCCAGAUGUCUGCAAGGAGGAGAUCUCCUUUGACCUGGACAGUUUGGCUUCAUCUUGGAUACCUUUUGACUUCAAAGAUUUAAUCGUGAUCACCAGUCAGAUCUCUAUGUCAUGGGCUUCAAAUCACUAGCAGGGAGACUGCUACAAUUUCAGCUGCAACAUUUGAUGUAUAAAUCCCUUAUCCCAUCUGUUCGCUUAAUCCAGGAUUCUGAAACACGUUCAGGGAACAGAAAAGGUUCCUGUCCUGCUGUCUGGGGGAGAGUUUUGGUAGCCUGCCCGGCCAACCCUAGCCCAGAGUACUCCCAGGUGUGGGAACAAGGCUGCCCACCAUCGCAUUGGCAUCAACAUAACUGAUAGCUCUCAACAUGCUGCAUCAGCGAAAGCACACAGACAAAUGAGGCUGGCCAUGGAGUCACACCAGCCUCAGCAGGACCUGUACAGAUCAGCUGUGAUCACCAGGGUUGCACAACCUUCCACAAGUGAGAAGUGGACUCUGGACAGCGAGAUAUGCAUUACAAGAUAAAGCUGUCCUGCUAUGCCACAGCAGUUGAAGAGUCUGAGCAUGCCUCAGUGGCCCUGCGCUCCCAGCACACAAAGCCAUCUGCAGCCACCAGUCAUUUGGAGCAGCCUCUCACAUGCUGGCUUUCCUACAGGGAGUUUCUCACAGCAGGAUCAGCCGCCCUUCCAGCACAUCACAGGUGUUCUCCACAUGGCAUGAGCAGCAUUUCUCUCCUCCGGUUCUGGGAGAGGAAAUUCUGCAAACCAAAUGUGAACUCAGGAAAGGGAGGUCCUAGCAAACUUGCUGUGCCAAAGGCAAACACAAAAGGCUCACCUCUGCAGUUGUGCCCGACUGAGCAGUGCCAGCAAAUAGAGGAGCGCGGUGCCAGACUCAUACAGAGUGGUACGGGGUCAAGGCAAGGCUUUUUGCUGGGAACAGGGUGUGUGCGGGCUGAAAAGCACUGAGGAGGAACUGAGGCCAUGGCUGAUCCUGGGGGGUGCGCAGAUCAGCUCUGCAGGCGAGGUUAGUGCCUUUGCUCCUCUGUCAUCACCAGUCCCUGAGAGCAAUCACCACCCACCAACAGUUCCUCAAGAUAAGACCGAGCCAGCUGGGAGAAGAAAUCCUUUGAUAUUUCCCUGCCUCGCUGACUGCGUUUUUCACAGCUCACAUCUCAGAGAGGACCAGCAGAGAUGACUGGGCACGUAAGAAUAACACUGGAGUGGUAUGCAAGGAAGGUGCUAAUCUUCUGCCAUGUGUGUAGGGCCUGGGCAGAAUGAGGCAGAGCGCAGUGCUGGAGUCUCCCUGAUCCUCCCAUGGAUAUCAGCAGCUGCCACACCUGGAGUCUGCAGCAAAGCUCCUUCCUCCAGAGGCCAAGAGCUGAGCCUACUGUUUCCAGCAAGGAAUCUUACGAUCUAUUUAUUCUCAAGAUUAAAUUUCCCUGUCCAGAACAUGUAUCAAAAAAGUCC
RNAcentral lists this long non-coding RNA (1926 nucleotides) under Gallus gallus (chicken). RNAcentral describes it as "lncRNA (ENSGALG00010019286.1)". The record is from RNAcentral. Lineage: Eukaryota; Metazoa; Chordata; Aves; Galliformes; Phasianidae.